UGCAGUCGAGCGAGCCUUCGGGCUAGCGGCGGACGGCUGAGUAACACGUUGGCUACCUACCCUAAACUCGGGAAUAAGCACUGGAAACGGUGUCUAAUGCCCGAUAGUCUCUUCGGAGUAAAGCUUUUGCGGUUUAGGAAGGGCCUGCGCGAGAUUAGCUAGUUGGUGAGGUAACGGCUCACCAAGGCUUCGAUCUCUAGGUGGUCUGAGAGGAUGAUCAUCCAGACUGGGACUGAGACACGGCCCAGACUCCUACGGGAGGCAGCAGUAAGGAAUCUUGCACAAUGGGGGAAACCCUGAUGCAGCAACGCCGCGUGGAGGAAGACGGCCUUCGGGUUGUAAACUCCUUUUAUCAAGGACGAACAUUGACGGUACUUGAUGAAUAAGAGGUGGCUAACUAUGUGCCAGCAGCCGCGGUAAUACAUAGACCUCAAGCGUUAUCCGGAUUUACUGGGCGUAAAGCGUGCGUAGGUGUCUUUGUAAGUCUCUAGUGAAAUCUCCGGGCCCAACUCGGAAACGGUUAGAGAAACUGCAAGGAUCGAGUAUCGCAGAGGCAGACGGAAUUCUAGGUGUAGCGGUAAAAUGCGUAGAUAUCUAGAAGAACACCGAUGGCGAAGGCAGUCUGCUGGGCGAUUACUGACACUGAGGCACGAAAGCGUGGGGAGCGAACGGGAUUAGAUACCCCGGUAGUCCACGCCGUAAACGAUGGGUACUAGGUAUCUGGGGCAUAGACCCCCUGGGUAUCGAAGCUAACGCGUUAAGUACCCCGCCUGGGGAGUACGGCCGCAAGGCUAAAACUCAAAGGAAUUGACGGGG
Molecule: ribosomal RNA, 816 nt
Filed under: uncultured bacterium
Lineage: Bacteria
Description: bacterial SSU rRNA
Rfam family: Bacterial small subunit ribosomal RNA
Source: RNAcentral